ACGAACGCUGGCGGCGUGCUUAACACAUGCCAGUCGAACGGAAAGGCCCUGCUUUUGUGGGGUGCUCGAGUGGCGAACGGGUGAGUAACACGUGAGUAACCUGCCCUUGACUUUGGGAUAACUUCAGGAAACUGGGGCUAAUACCGGAUAGGAGCUCCUGCUGCAUGGUGGGGGUUGGAAAGUUUCGGCGGUUGGGGAUGAACUCGCGGCUUAUCAGCUUGUUGGUGGGGUAGUGGCUUACCAAGGCUUUGACGGGUAGCCGGCCUGAGAGGGUGACCGGCCACAUUGGGACUGAGAUACGGCCCAGACUCCUACGGGAGGCAGCAGUGGGGAAUAUUGCACAAUGGGCGGAAGCCUGAUGCAGCAACGCCGCGUGCGGGAUGACGGCCUUCGGGUUGUAAACCGCUUUCGCCUGUGACGAAGCGUGAGUGACGGUAAUGGGUAAAGAAGCACCGGCUAACUACGUG
Molecule: ribosomal RNA, 467 nt
Filed under: uncultured bacterium
Lineage: Bacteria
Description: partial 16S ribosomal RNA
Rfam family: Bacterial small subunit ribosomal RNA
Source: RNAcentral